This 222-nucleotide long non-coding RNA is filed under the name Elaeis guineensis (African oil palm). RNAcentral describes it as "long non-coding RNA (EGUI_LNC011861)". Lineage: Eukaryota; Viridiplantae; Streptophyta; Magnoliopsida; Arecales; Arecaceae. The record is from RNAcentral.
UUAUCUUCACGACGUUAGAUUUUCUGUGGUGCAUCUUUGCAUCAUAAAAAAUGGUGCAUGCUUGGAUUGUCACUGCAUUGCCUAUCUCGUACAUUUAGCAUUACAACUUGGCUCUCCUUCCAUAAAAAAAUUUAGAAAUGGGCUAUAGAGCAAUGAUCUAAGCAUGCACCGUUCUUUGUCAUGCAAAAGGUGCAUCGUAAUUAGAACUGAAAAUAGAUCGGA